UUCUUCGGGGCAGGGUGAGAUUCCCUACCGGCGGUAGAGUCCGCGACCCGCAUAUGCGGUUGAUCCGGUGUGAUUCCGGAACCGACAGUUACAGUCUGGAUGAGAGAAGAUG
This 112-nucleotide non-coding RNA is filed under the name uncultured Enterocloster sp. RNAcentral's name for it is "FMN riboswitch (RFN element)". It matches the Rfam family "FMN riboswitch aptamer (RFN element)". From Rfam's summary of the family: The RFN element is a highly conserved domain that is found frequently in the 5'-untranslated regions of prokaryotic mRNAs that encode for flavin mononucleotide (FMN) biosynthesis and transport proteins. This element is a metabolite-dependent riboswitch that directly binds FMN in the absence of proteins. The record is from RNAcentral. Lineage: Bacteria; Bacillati; Bacillota; Clostridia; Lachnospirales; Lachnospiraceae.